RNAcentral lists this transfer RNA (67 nucleotides) under Ictidomys tridecemlineatus (thirteen-lined ground squirrel). Its description in RNAcentral is "Spermophilus tridecemlineatus (thirteen-lined ground squirrel) tRNA". It matches the Rfam family "tRNA". From Rfam's summary of the family: Transfer RNA (tRNA) molecules are approximately 80 nucleotides in length. Lineage: Eukaryota; Metazoa; Chordata; Mammalia; Rodentia; Sciuridae. The record is from Rfam by way of RNAcentral.
GGGGAUAUAACUCAGUUGGUAGAGUGCUUGCAUGCACAGGCCCUGGGUUCAAUCCCCAGCACCACCA